GCCUUCGUGGUGCAGUGGUCAACACUUUCGGCGCGUAUUCGAGAGGUCCGCGGUUCGAGUCCCGGAGACGGCA
This 73-nucleotide transfer RNA is filed under the name Stegodyphus mimosarum. It matches the Rfam family "tRNA". Rfam says of the family: Transfer RNA (tRNA) molecules are approximately 80 nucleotides in length. Lineage: Eukaryota; Metazoa; Arthropoda; Arachnida; Araneae; Eresidae. The record is from Rfam by way of RNAcentral.